CGCUCGGUAGCUUAGUUCGAAAAGCACUUGUCUAGCGAAUAAGGUUCGUGAGUUCAAAUCUCACCUGAGCUG
Molecule: non-coding RNA, 72 nt
Organism: Aedes albopictus (Asian tiger mosquito)
Lineage: Eukaryota; Metazoa; Arthropoda; Insecta; Diptera; Culicidae
Source: Rfam